Molecule: ribosomal RNA, 497 nt
Filed under: uncultured bacterium
Lineage: Bacteria
Description: partial 16S ribosomal RNA
Rfam family: Bacterial small subunit ribosomal RNA
Source: RNAcentral
GAUGAACGCUGGCGGCGUGCCUAAUACAUGCAAGUCGAGCGAACGGACGAGAAGCUUGCUUCUCUGAUGUUAGCGGCGGACGGGUGAGUAACACGUGGAUACCCUACCUAUAAUACUGGGAUCACUUCGGGACACCGGAGCUAAUACCGUAUAAUCUUUUGCACCGCAUUGUUCAAAAGUGAAAGACGGUCUUGCUGUCACUUAUCGAUGCAUCCGCGCUGCAUUAGCUAGUUGGUAAGGUAACGGCUUACCAAGGCAACGAUGCAUAGCCGACCUGAGAGGGUGAUCGGCCACACUGGAACUGAGACACGGUCCAGACUCCUAAGGGAGGCAGCAGUAGGGAAUCUGACGCAAUGGGCGAAAGCAUGACGGAGCAACGCCGCGUGAGUGAUGAAGGUCUUCGGAGCGUAAAACUCGGUUAUUAGGGAAGAACAUAUGUGUAAGUAACUGUGCACAUCUUGACGGUACCUAAUCAGAAAGCCACGGCUAACUACGUG